AUAGGUGAACCUGCGGAAGGAUCAU
Molecule: ribosomal RNA, 25 nt
Filed under: Hydrangea platyarguta
Lineage: Eukaryota; Viridiplantae; Streptophyta; Magnoliopsida; Cornales; Hydrangeaceae
Description: partial 18S ribosomal RNA
Source: RNAcentral